RNAcentral lists this transfer RNA (74 nucleotides) under Aliiroseovarius crassostreae. RNAcentral describes it as "tRNA-Met". It matches the Rfam family "tRNA". From Rfam's summary of the family: Transfer RNA (tRNA) molecules are approximately 80 nucleotides in length. The record is from RNAcentral. Lineage: Bacteria; Pseudomonadati; Pseudomonadota; Alphaproteobacteria; Rhodobacterales; Paracoccaceae.
CCGGGGUAGAGCAGCAGUAGCUCGCCUGGCUCAUAACCAAGAGGUCGCGGGUGCAAAUCCCGCCCCCGCAACCA